RNAcentral lists this ribosomal RNA (480 nucleotides) under uncultured bacterium. RNAcentral's name for it is "bacterial SSU rRNA". It matches the Rfam family "Bacterial small subunit ribosomal RNA", at positions 28 to 507 of the family's 1533-position model. The record is from RNAcentral.
GACGAACGUUGGCGGCGUGCUUAAUACAUGCAAGUCAACUGAAGCACCGGUAGUAAUACUGGUGUGGAGGUGGCGCACGGGUGAGUAACACGUAGGUAAUCUGCCUUCAGGUCUGACAUAACCCCGAGAAAUCGGGCUAAUAGCAGAUGAUGCAGCGGCUUGACAUCAAGACAGUUGUUAAAGCUUCGGCGCCUGAAGAUGAGCCUGCGUCUGAUUAGCUAGUUGGCGGAGUAAUAGCCCACCAAGGCGACGAUCAGUAGCUGGUCUGAGAGGAUGAUCAGCCACACUGGAACUGAGACACGGUCCAGACUCCUACGGGAGGCAGCAGUAAGGAAUAUUGCUCAAUGGGAGAAAUCCUGAAGCAGCAACGCCGCGUGAGGGAUGAAGGGCUUUUGCUCGUAAACCUCUGUAGUGAGGGAAAAAAUUUCCAUUCUAUGGAAUAUGAUGGUACCUCAAAAGUAAGCCCCGGCUAACUACGUG